AUUGAAACACCGGUUCCCGUAAGAUCGCCGAAGUUAAGCAACGUCUAGUCUGGUCAGUACUUAGAUGGGUGACUGCUUGGGAAUACCAGGUGCUGUAAG
Molecule: non-coding RNA, 99 nt
Organism: Acanthosepion pharaonis
Lineage: Eukaryota; Metazoa; Mollusca; Cephalopoda; Sepiida; Sepiidae
Source: the annotation of a GenBank genome assembly